CUUUUGUCUAUCAUCUUUAGCUAAGCCUUUACCAAACAUUAUAGCUGAUUUAUUGAGAUUUAUGGCCUGACCUGAGGCUUUUUCAUAUAUUUGCAGUAUCUGCAUUAGCUCUCUGCAUUCCUCCUCCUCAGCUUUACAGAAUAGAAGAGAAUCAUCUGCAAAAAGCAAGUAAGAGAUUGCAGGUCCUGUUCUACUUGCUUUAAAGCCAUGAAUUUUUCCUGCUUUAAUACUAUUUUGAAUAAUAGAUGACAAUCCCUCAGUGCAAAGCAAAUAGAUGUAAGGAGAUAUGGGAUCUCUUUAUCUUAUUCCCCUAUUAGGUAUUAUCCUUCCUACAGGGUUUCCGUUUAUUAGAAUUGAAUAGGAUGCUGAGCUUAUACACUUCAUGACCCAUCUACACCAUUUCUCACUGAAGCGUAGACCUUUCAUCAUAGCGUUAAUAUAAUUCCAUUUGACCUUGUCAAAGGCUUUACUUAGGUCUAGCUUAAGGGCCAUAAAGGGUUGAGCGAGUUUUUUUUGUAUUUAGUGAAUGGAGGAGUUCAUGAGCAAUGAGGAUGUUAUCCGUAAUGAGCCUAUUAGGGAUGAAAGCUGAUAGUCAAGCUUCUGUUAUGGUUUUCUUCCAAAUAGCUAUAAGAUUAUAAAUAAAAAAAAGGAUCGGAUCUAAGCUUCAUGCAUUAAAAUUAUAUUCAGUUUACAUUUUAUUUCACUUGUACUCACAUACUCUAUGUUUAUCUUCAUUAUAUCAACUUGGAAUAUCAAUAAUAAAUACUUUAACAUCUUUCAUUUACUUACUUGAUACUUUAGAUUAGAGUUCAUCUCUAAUUUAUGAAUGGAUCAUGUGGUACAUUUAAUUGUUAUUUUAUGUUCUCACUUUUGUUAAAACAUUUCCGAAAUAAUAUCCUAACUCCUUUGCUACUAUAUUUCCUCGCAAUUCCACACCAAAUCCAUUCAUUUUAUUUGAAUCUGUUGAUUCUUAUUUAUUGUUAAUUAAAAUUAGAUAUUCUGUUUCGGAAAAAUAAAUUUUAUAUUUAUAAAUAAAUGGUUAUUGAGAUUUUUUUUAUUUCAAUAAUAACCCAAUUACUUUUUAUGUUGUUUUGUUGUCAAAUAUAAAAUUAACAUACUAUCAAGUUUAUGAUAAAAAUAAAAAUGAGAAGAUUAUUAUCCUAGUACUUGAGAAGUAAUGUUGAUUUAUAAUUUUUGUAAAUUUUUAGAAUAUGGUAAUAAAUCAUAAAUCAUUAUUAAUAUAACAAUAAAUAAUAAAAUAGUAGAAAUAGAAAUAUGAUUAUAUUUUAAAAACUAUGAAAUAUUAUUUAAAUAUAUUUUUUAUAAUUAUAUAAUUUUAUUAUUAAAACAAUUCUUCCAAAUUUUAUGAAGUUUUUUUUAAUUAUAGUUUCCUAAUCCUAAUACUAUUAAUUUCUUUUUUAAUAUCUAGAAAUUUUAAUAAUAUUAUUUGUUUUACGUUUUGGUAGUUAUAUACCUAAACAAAUUGUCUGUUUAUUUUAAAGAAUUUUAUUUAAUAUAUUUUGAUAAUAAUUAUCAAGCGGAAUGGAUGUAUCCUGAUUCAGGGUGGACACCACCGGUGUACGGGCCAGAUGUCAAACAUUCUAAAUGCUUUCUCAUGGAAGAUUAGAUUCCUUCCUAAGAUCAAGCACUUUAUAUGGCAAAUAGUCUCAGGUUACAUUGCGGUGAAGACAAAUUUAUGUGCAAAAGGUAUUCAAUGUGAUACCUAGUGUGCAAGAUGUGGAGUAGCGAAGGAAUCAACAAAUCAUGGUUGUUUUAAUGUCCGCCAGCAGUUCAAGUGGCGGUAACUGAAUGCACAAUUUGGAAUGAGACUCAGGAUGAACAUAUUCGAAGGGUUAAUCAUAGUAGGGAGGCAAAUCAGGAAAGUUUACCUCAAAUUUUAGGUAGAUGGUGUUUCACAAAUGACUCUUGGAAAGAAAAGAAUACAUUUUUGAGAUAAGGUUGGUACAAUACACUAGAAGGUUUCAAUGGACUAAUGGGGGCAAAAAAUACAAGAGCCAGCCUUUUUCCCCUCCAUUCGGAAAUAGAAGCACUCAUAUGAGCAAUGGAAAGUAUGAGGAAUCUUAGACAAUUCCAUGUAACAUUCGCAAGAGAGUGUUCUCAAUUGGUGAAGCUGAUUUCAGAAUCAAAAGAAUGACCUACCUUUGCAACAUACUUGGAAGAUAUUCAGACACUGAAGGAAAGUUUUAACUACAACGGAUGCAUAACAAAAAGGCUGAUAGUUUGGCACCCAGUGCCAGGAAACAAACGUCAUUUGUCAUUUACAUGGAUGCAGAGUUACCAUCUUAGUUUGCAGAGUU
Molecule: long non-coding RNA, 2318 nt
Organism: Brassica napus (rape)
Lineage: Eukaryota; Viridiplantae; Streptophyta; Magnoliopsida; Brassicales; Brassicaceae
Exons: 2
Source: RefSeq, a predicted model, not a curated record